GUGGGGAAUCUUCCGCAAUGGACGAAAGUCUGACGCAGCAAUACCGCGUGAGUGAAGAAGGUUUUCGGAUCGUAAAACUCUUUUAUUGGGGAAGAAGAAGUGACGGUACCCAAUGAAGAAGUCCCGGCUAACUACGUGCCAGCAGCCGCGGUAAUACGUAGGGGACAAGCGUUGUCCGGAAUCACUGGGCGUAAAGGGCGCGUAGGCGGUUUUAUAAGUCAGAUGUGAAAGGUACCGGCUCAACCGGUGACGUGCAUUUGAAACUGUAAGACUUGAGUACUGGAGAGGCAAGUGGAAUUCCUAGUGUAGCGGUGAAAUGCGUAGAUAUUAGGAGGAACACCGGUGGCGAAGGCGGCUUGCUGGACAGAUACUGACGCUGAGGUGCGAAAGCGUGGGGAGCGAACAGGAUUAGAAACCCCGGUAGUCC
This 427-nucleotide ribosomal RNA is filed under the name uncultured bacterium. RNAcentral's name for it is "partial 16S ribosomal RNA". It matches the Rfam family "Bacterial small subunit ribosomal RNA", at positions 354 to 796 of the family's 1533-position model. The record is from RNAcentral.